AGAGUUUGAUCCUGGCUCAGAUUGAACGCUGGCGGCAGGCCUAACACAUGCAAGUCGAACGGUAACAGAAAGCAGCUUGCUGCUUUGCUGACGAGUGGCGGACGGGUGAGUAAUGUCUGGGAAACUGCCUGAUGGAGGGGGAUAACUACUGGAAACGGUAGCUAAUACCGCAUAACGUCGCAAGACCAAAGAGGGGGACCUUCGGGCCUCUUGCCAUCGGAUGUGCCCAGAUGGGAUUAGCUAGUAGGUGGGGUAAAGGCUCACCUAGGCGACGAUCCCUAGCUGGUCUGAGAGGAUGACCAGCCACACUGGAACUGAGACACGGUCCAGACUCCUACGGGAGGCAGCAGUGGGGAAUAUUGCACAAUGGGCGCAAGCCUGAUGCAGCCAUGCCGCGUGUAUGAAGAAGGCCUUCGGGUUGUAAAGUACUUUCAGCGGGGAGGAAGGGAGUAAAGUUAAUACCUUUGCUCAUUGACGUUACCCGCAGAAGAAGCACCGGCUGACUCCGUGCCAGCAGCCGCGGUAAUACGGAGGGUGCAAGCGUUGAUCGGAAUUACUGGGCGUAAAGCGCACGCAGGCGGUUUGUUAAGUCAGAUGUGAAAUCCCCGGGCUCAACCUGGGAACUGCAUCUGAUACUGGCAAGCUUGAGUCUCGUAGAGGGGGGUAGAAUUCCAGGUGUAGCGGUGAAAUGCGUAGAGAUCUGGAGGAAUACCGGUGGCGAAGGCGGCCCCCUGGACGAAGACUGACGCUCAGGUGCGAAAGCGUGGGGAGCAAACAGGAUUAGAUACCCUGGUAGUCCA
This 800-nucleotide ribosomal RNA is filed under the name uncultured bacterium. RNAcentral's name for it is "bacterial SSU rRNA". It matches the Rfam family "Bacterial small subunit ribosomal RNA", at positions 8 to 797 of the family's 1533-position model. The record is from RNAcentral.